GACGAACGCUGGCGGCGCGCCUAACACAUGCAAGUCGAACGAGCGAGCGAGAGCUUGCUUUCUCGAGCGAGUGGCGAACGGGUGAGUAACGCGUGAGGAACCUGCCUCAAAGAGGGGGACAACAGUUGGAAACGACUGCUAAUACCGCAUAAGCCCACGACCCGGCAUCGGGUAGAGGGAAAAGGAGCAAUCCGCUUUGAGAUGGCCUCGCGUCCGAUUAGCUAGUUGGUGAGGUAACGGCCCACCAAGGCGACGAUCGGUAGCCGGACUGAGAGGUUGAACGGCCACAUUGGGACUGAGACACGGCCCAGACUCCUACGGGAGGCAGCAGUGGGGAAUAUUGCACAAUGGGGGAAACCCUGAUGCAGCGACGCCGCGUGGAGGAAGAAGGUCUUCGGAUUGUAAACUCCUGUUGUUGAGGAAGAUAAUGACGGUACUCAACAAGGAAGGGACGGCUAACUACGU
RNAcentral lists this ribosomal RNA (465 nucleotides) under uncultured bacterium. Its description in RNAcentral is "partial 16S ribosomal RNA". It matches the Rfam family "Bacterial small subunit ribosomal RNA", at positions 28 to 506 of the family's 1533-position model. The record is from RNAcentral.